RNAcentral lists this long non-coding RNA (267 nucleotides) under Mytilus galloprovincialis (Mediterranean mussel). Lineage: Eukaryota; Metazoa; Mollusca; Bivalvia; Mytilida; Mytilidae. The record is from RNAcentral.
AGAGGCUGUUCCUCUGAGAGAUUAUCCUCAGAAUAGAUAACUCGAAUAAUUCUGCGCCCUCUAGCGGCCUAUAGCCUAUCGAGGUAGCAAUCGGAGAUUAGACGGAGAUCGGUAACUCGAAUAAUUCAGCGCCCUCUAUCCACUACUUUUCUCGAGGAAAAUGGAGUGAUCGAAGUGAUCGUAAUAUAACGACUGGAUUAUUCGGGUUAGGAGAUCGGCGGAAUAUAGCGACUGAAAUUAUUCGGGUUACAGAAGAGAGGAUUGGCU